UACGGAGGAUGCGAGCGUUAUCCGGAUUUAUUGGGUUUAAAGGGUGCGUAGGCGGCUUAGUAAGUCAGCGGUGAAAUUUUGCAGCUUAACUGUAACAGUGCCGUUGAUACUGCCAGGCUAGGAUUUGGUUGCUGUGGGUGGAAUGUGUGGUGUAGCGGUGAAAUGCUUAGAUAUCACACAGAAUAUCGAUUGCGAAGGCAGCUCACAAAGCCAAGAUUGACGCUGAGGCACGAAAGUGUGGGGAUCAAACAGG
Molecule: ribosomal RNA, 253 nt
Filed under: uncultured bacterium
Lineage: Bacteria
Description: partial 16S ribosomal RNA
Rfam family: Bacterial small subunit ribosomal RNA
Source: RNAcentral